RNAcentral lists this transfer RNA (62 nucleotides) under Timarete posteria. Its description in RNAcentral is "tRNA-Asp". It matches the Rfam family "tRNA". Rfam says of the family: Transfer RNA (tRNA) molecules are approximately 80 nucleotides in length. Lineage: Eukaryota; Metazoa; Annelida; Polychaeta; Terebellida; Cirratulidae. The record is from RNAcentral.
AAAGUAUUAGUUUAAUUAAAACAUAAGCUUGUCAAGCUUAAGCUGUAACCCUACAUACUUUU